Callithrix jacchus (white-tufted-ear marmoset) is the source of this 482-nucleotide non-coding RNA. The record is from RefSeq and is a predicted model, not a curated record. Lineage: Eukaryota; Metazoa; Chordata; Mammalia; Primates; Cebidae.
CCUGCAGUGUCCCAGUGUCACUGGCAGGCCUUGACCUGGCCUCCACCUAAGCCCCUGCUCCUCCUCUCCCACAGGGAACAUGACAUCCUCUUCCUAGGUUACACCCACCUGCAGAGGGCCCAGCCCCAUCACUGGAGCCACUGGAUUCUGAGGAUGAGUAUUUUGUGUCAAGUGGAUUCAAGGGACAGUGCGAAGGAUCCAUGGCCUCAGUCAUGAAGACUCUCCCAAGAGCCAACCGUCCUGGGCACAUAUAAAUGAGUGGAGACAUGGAACUCACCCUUACAAGGCCUAGAACUUGACAGAGCAUACAAGACAGAAGCCCAAAUAACCAAGAACAGGAAGCUGAAGGUGACAUAGGAGGCUUUGUGGGUAACAGGCAUCAGCCAGGGCCAGCAGCCUUCAGUCAGAAGCUGAUGGAGGAGGAGGAGCUCCGACUAUUCUCACGGAAGUAUUUGUGCCCUUGUGGCUUGCUCUGUUGCAGC